RNAcentral lists this ribosomal RNA (524 nucleotides) under uncultured bacterium. RNAcentral describes it as "bacterial SSU rRNA". It matches the Rfam family "Bacterial small subunit ribosomal RNA", at positions 791 to 1314 of the family's 1533-position model. The record is from RNAcentral.
UAGUCCACGCCGUAAACGAUGUCAACUAGUUGUCGGAAGGAAUUGACCUUUCGGUGACGCAGCUAACGCAUUAAGUAUCCCGCCUGGGGAGUACGGUCGCAAGAUUAAAACUCAAAGGAAUUGACGAGGGCCCGCACAAGCGGUGGAGCAUGUGGUUUAAUUCGAUGCUACGCGAAAAACCUUACCUGGACUUGACAUCCCGGGCUACCCUAGGAAACUAGGGGUUCUCUUCGGAGACCCGGUGACAGGUGCUGCAUGGCUGUCGUCAGCUCGUGUUGUGAGAUGUUGGGUUAAGUCCCGCAACGAGCGCAACCCUCGUCGUUAGUUACCAUCAUUAAGUUGGGCACUCUAACGAGACCGCUAGGCUAUAAGCCAGAGGAAGGUGGGGAUGACGUCAAGUCCUCAUGGCCUUUAUGUCCAGGGCUACACACGCGCUACAAUGGAAAGUACAAUACGUCGCUACUUCGCGAGGAGAUGCUAAUCGUAAAAAACUUUUCUCAGUUCGGAUUGGAGUCUGCAACUCG